AUUGCAUCUUGGCAUUUUCGUGGUUACGAUCGUGUCUGUGGUUAUUAUUCCUGUCAGUUUAAUAUCUGAUAAGCUUCCCCAUCUGGGGUUGUCUGCAGUAUAUUGAAUAGAUUUUUGGGAACAGUGGCCAAGACUGGUGAGAUUCUCUCCAUUGGGCCAAGGUAUGAUCCUGGUAUUGCAGAGCUUCUGGGAAUAGUUCUAAACAA
Molecule: small nuclear RNA, 206 nt
Filed under: Erpetoichthys calabaricus (reedfish)
Lineage: Eukaryota; Metazoa; Chordata; Cladistia; Polypteriformes; Polypteridae
Description: U2 spliceosomal RNA (ENSECRG00000005256.1)
Rfam family: U2 spliceosomal RNA
About the family: U2 is a small nuclear RNA (snRNA) component of the spliceosome (involved in pre-mRNA splicing).
Source: RNAcentral